RNAcentral lists this ribosomal RNA (253 nucleotides) under uncultured bacterium. RNAcentral's name for it is "partial 16S ribosomal RNA". It matches the Rfam family "Bacterial small subunit ribosomal RNA", at positions 524 to 776 of the family's 1533-position model. The record is from RNAcentral.
UACAGAGGCCCCAAGCGUUAGGCGGAAUCACUGGGCUUAAAGCGUGUGUAGGCGGACUUCUAAGUACCCUGUGAAAUCCCACGGCUUAACCGUGGAACUGCUUGGUAUACUGGUCGUCUUGAGCCACUUAGGGGUUACCGGAACAAAUGGUGGAGCGGUGAAGUGCGCAGAUAUCAGGAGGAACACCAAUUGCGAAGGCAGCUCGCUGGGACGUUACUGACGCUGAGACGCGAAAGCGUGGGGAGCAAACAGG